CCUACGGGCGGCAGCAGUGAGGAAUAUUGGUCAAUGGGAGAGAUCCUGAACCAGCCAAGCCGCGUGAGGGAAGACGGCCCUAUGGGUUGUAAACCUCUUUUGUCUGGGAAUAAAAUCCGGGACGUGUCCCGUACUGUGUGUAUCCUAUGAAUAAGCAUCGGCUAACUCCGUGCCAGCAGCCGCGGUAAUACGGAGGAUGCGAGCGUUAUCCGGAUUUCUUGGGUUUAAAGGGUGCGUAGGCGGUCCGUUAAGUCAGCGGUAAAAUUUUGGGGCUCAACCCCGACGAGCCGUUGAUACUGGCAGACUUGAGUUGGCGAGAGGUAGACGGAAUGCGCGGUGUAGCGGUGAAAUGCAUAGAUAUCGCGCAGAACUCCGAUUGCGAAGGCAGCGUACCGGAGCCAAACUGACGCUGAGGCACGAAAGCGUGGGGAUCAAACAGGAUUAGAUACCCUAGUAGUC
This 459-nucleotide ribosomal RNA is filed under the name uncultured bacterium. Its description in RNAcentral is "partial 16S ribosomal RNA". It matches the Rfam family "Bacterial small subunit ribosomal RNA", at positions 338 to 795 of the family's 1533-position model. The record is from RNAcentral.